This 74-nucleotide transfer RNA is filed under the name Dehalococcoidia bacterium DG_22. RNAcentral describes it as "tRNA-Gly". It matches the Rfam family "tRNA". From Rfam's summary of the family: Transfer RNA (tRNA) molecules are approximately 80 nucleotides in length. Lineage: Bacteria; Bacillati; Chloroflexota; Dehalococcoidia. RNAcentral also lists the same sequence under 1 other name. The record is from RNAcentral.
GCGGCCAAAGUGUUGUGGUGGCACAUCUCCCUUCCAAGGAGAGAGCGCGGGUUCGAUUCCCGCUGGCCGCUCCA